UUAUUAUAGCAAAGAGGAUACACCUGUUCCCAUACCGAACACAGAAGUUAAGCUCUUUAGCGGCGAUGGUACUUGGUGGGCGACCGCCUGGGAGAGUAG
RNAcentral lists this ribosomal RNA (99 nucleotides) under Romboutsia timonensis. Lineage: Bacteria; Bacillati; Bacillota; Clostridia; Peptostreptococcales; Peptostreptococcaceae. The record is from RNAcentral.